RNAcentral lists this unclassified non-coding RNA (265 nucleotides) under plant metagenome. Its description in RNAcentral is "partial contains small subunit ribosomal RNA and internal transcribed spacer 1". The stretch from base 1 to 46 matches the Rfam family "Eukaryotic small subunit ribosomal RNA", at positions 1786 to 1831 of the family's 1831-position model. The record is from RNAcentral.
AAGUCGUAACAAGGUUUCCGUAGGUGAACCUGCGGAAGGAUCAUUACUGAAUUUAAUUCCGGGGUUGUAGCUGGCCAUUGUUUUGGCAUGUGCACACCUUGGUAUAAUCCAAAUUCAUUCACACCUCUGUGCACCAUUUCGUGGGAUUGAAGGACAAUGAAUGAAUUGCGCCUUAGCUCUUCUUUUCUUUGCCCAAAUUUCCCAUGUCUUCUUAUAUACUCUACAGUUUUAGAAUGUUAAUUGCGUUGAACGCAUUUAUAUACAA